This 31-nucleotide non-coding RNA is filed under the name Mus musculus (house mouse). Lineage: Eukaryota; Metazoa; Chordata; Mammalia; Rodentia; Muridae. The record is from RNAcentral.
UNGAAAUGAGAGCCUGGAACACUUGGCAAGC